GUUACAAAUCAAACAUCAAAUCACUUUUCACGUUCUGGACCAGCGUUACGACAUUUUCAACUUUUCAAGGAAGCAGCGUCUGAUAAUAUUAUUAAAACGCAGAAUAAAAGUGCGAGUCAAUAUAAUAAAAGUCGUAAGGAACCUGUAACGUAUAACGUUAAUGACUAUGUGAUGAUCAGGAAUUUUGAUGUUACUCCUGGAGUGAAUAAAAAAUUAAUACCUAAGUUUAAAGGACCUUAUGCUGUAAAAAGGGUUUUAGAUAAUGAUAGAUAUGUUGUCGCUGAUAUCGAAGGUAACCAAAUUACUCAGAGACCAUUUGAAGGAGUAGUGGGUCCCGACCAAAUGAGAAAGUGGAUAAAGGUACCAGUAGCAUAACCGUUUUGUUUUUAUGAAAAAAAAAUAUAUUUAUAUAUUAAUAUUUAUUAUAUAUUUGUGUAAUGUAUGUACGUAUUGAAACAAUAUUUCCUAUGUGGUAGUUUUUUUAUAUAUAUAUAUUGUAUUGUAUUGUAUUUAUUAUUAUUUUUCUAUUGUUAUAAUUAUUUAUUUUAUAUUUUGAAAUUAUAAUAUUGUCACUGAUAUAAUAUUAUUAAAUUGUACGUAUUCGGGACGAAUUAUUGUCAGGAAGGCCGAGCUGUUAGCGUCUAUUCUGGAAUGUUCGGCGGAGCACCUAUCGGGUCUUCGGGAUUACCGAUUUGAUAACGAUCUGGUGUUUCCGUCGAAUGUUCUAGAAUUGACGAAUCUAAUUGUUAUAAAUAUGGCAAUCGCAAAAUGUAUCGAUCAGUCGAUUGAUUGAUCUUCCGUUGCACCGACGCCUAAUAUAAGACGACGAAAUAAACCGUAUGCUUUUGAAAUAAAACUUUUUUUUAUAUAACCUAAACCAAAUCAGCCAACAAGUUAAUUUAUUUACUUUUAAUAGGUUAAACAAUCAACAAUCAACAUGUAUAUCAAAUAUAUAAUACUUGUUAUCAUUACAUUCAUACAUUUUACUG
Rhopalosiphum padi (bird cherry-oat aphid) is the source of this 989-nucleotide long non-coding RNA. RefSeq lists it as uncharacterized. NCBI's taxonomy places the organism in Eukaryota, Metazoa, Arthropoda, Insecta, Hemiptera, Aphididae. The record is from RefSeq and is a predicted model, not a curated record. The transcript has 2 exons.